GUGCGAGUGCUGCCUUGUAGUGGCAUUAGCCUGCUCUUUUUCGAAAUCUACAAGGGUGUCUUUAACGUGCAAGAGAUAUGGAUCUCUCUUAACACGAGUCAGCCAUUUAUCGUCCCCUUCCGACAGACUAUCAUCGUUUCCUCAAGACCAUACUCGCAAAUGGUGUCAAGGGAGAGCCGAAAAUUCAGUCCCUGAAAUUUUCAUCCC
Molecule: long non-coding RNA, 207 nt
Filed under: Mytilus galloprovincialis (Mediterranean mussel)
Lineage: Eukaryota; Metazoa; Mollusca; Bivalvia; Mytilida; Mytilidae
Source: RNAcentral